RNAcentral lists this ribosomal RNA (500 nucleotides) under uncultured bacterium. RNAcentral describes it as "partial 16S ribosomal RNA". It matches the Rfam family "Bacterial small subunit ribosomal RNA", at positions 30 to 523 of the family's 1533-position model. The record is from RNAcentral.
AUUGAACGCUGGCGGAAUGCUUUACACAUGCAAGUCGAACGAUGAACCUUAGCUUGCUAGGGGGAUUAGUGGCGAACGGGUGAGUAACAUAUCGGAACGUACCUAGUAAUGGGGGAUAACUAGUCGAAAGAUUAGCUAAUACCGCAUACGCCCUGAGGGGGAAAGUAGGGGAUCUUCGGACCUUACGUUAUUAGAGCGGCCGAUAUCUGAUUAGCUAGUUGGUGGGGUAAAGGCCUACCAAGGCGACGAUCAGUAGCUGGUCUGAGAGGACGACCAGCCACACUGGAACUGAGACACGGUCCAGACUCCUACGGGAGGCAGCAGUGGGGAAUUUUGGACAAUGGGGGCAACCCUGAUCCAGCCAUUCCGCGUGAGUGAAGAAGGCCUUCGGGUUGUAAAGCUCUUUCGCAAGGGAAGAAAACUUACAUUCUAAUAAAGUGUGAGGCUGACGGUACCUUGAUAAGAAGCACCGGCUAACUACGUGCCAGCCGCCGCCGUAA